UCACCAAACCUUGAGCCCGUCUUUAAACCAAUAUCCUACUCGAUCUCAGACCGACCUCUUUGGAGUUUAGUGGCAACCAAAUUAAUAAAAUAAAUAAAACAUAUAGAACUACUUGUCAUUCUAAACUCCUUGCAAGAUCUAGUGUCAAAAUAUGUAAUGAUUCCAUAUAUAGAAACAAGAUAUAUUUAUUAAUUAAAUAAGAUCAAAUGCUAUUAUCUUCUAAUAUAUUAAUUAUGU
RNAcentral lists this long non-coding RNA (237 nucleotides) under Elaeis guineensis (African oil palm). Its description in RNAcentral is "long non-coding RNA (EGUI_LNC062817)". The record is from RNAcentral. Lineage: Eukaryota; Viridiplantae; Streptophyta; Magnoliopsida; Arecales; Arecaceae.